Molecule: ribosomal RNA, 259 nt
Filed under: uncultured bacterium
Lineage: Bacteria
Description: partial 16S ribosomal RNA
Rfam family: Bacterial small subunit ribosomal RNA
Source: RNAcentral
CGGCGGACGGGUGAGUAACGCGUGGGUAACCUGCCUCAUACAGGGGGAUAACAGUUAGAAAUGGCUGCUAAUACCGCAUAAGACCACAGUACUGCAUGGUACAGUGGUAAAAACUCCGGCGGUAUGAGAUGGACCCGCGUCUGAUUAGGUAGUUGGUGAGGUAACGGCCCACCAAGCCGACGAUCAGUAGCCGACCUGAGAGGGUGACCGGCCACAUUGGGACUGAGACACGGCCCAGACUCCUACGGGAGGCAGCAUG